RNAcentral lists this ribosomal RNA (207 nucleotides) under uncultured bacterium. RNAcentral describes it as "partial 16S ribosomal RNA". It matches the Rfam family "Bacterial small subunit ribosomal RNA", at positions 524 to 734 of the family's 1533-position model. The record is from RNAcentral.
UACGUAGGGGCAAGCGUUGUCCGGAUCAUUGGGCGUAAAGAGCGUGUAGGCGGCCCGAUAAGUCCGCUGUGAAAGUCCAGGCUCAACCCUUGAAAGCCGGCCAUACUGUCGGACUAGAGUCCGGAAGAGGCAAGUGGAAUUCCCGGUGUAGCGGUGAAAUGCGCAGAUAUCGGGAGGAACACCGGUGGCGAAGGCGGGUCUCUGGGC